UACAGAGGUCUCAAGCGUUGUUCGGAUUCAUUGGGCGUAAAGGGUGUGUAGGUGGCGCGCUAAGUCGGGUGUGAAAUUUCGGAGCUUAACUCCGAAACUGCAUUCGAUACUGGCGUGCUUGAGGACUGGAGAGGAGACUGGAAUUCAUGGUGUAGCAGUGAAAUGCGUAGAUACAAUCAAGAACUCCGAUUGCGUAGGCAGCUAACUAGGCUGUAACUGACGCUGAGGCACGAAAGCGUGGGGAGCGAACAGG
Molecule: ribosomal RNA, 253 nt
Filed under: uncultured bacterium
Lineage: Bacteria
Description: partial 16S ribosomal RNA
Rfam family: Bacterial small subunit ribosomal RNA
Source: RNAcentral